CCUACGGGGGGCUGCAGUGGGGAAUAUUGGACAAUGGGGGCAACCCUGAUCCAGCCAUGCCGCGUGUGUGAAGAAGGCCCUCGGGUUGUAAAGCACUUUCAGUGAGGAAGAACGCCUGGUGGUUAAUACCCAUCAGGAAAGACAUCACUCACAGAAGAAGCACCGGCUAACUCCGUGCCAGCAGCCGCGGUAAUACGGAGGGUGCGAGCGUUAAUCGGAAUUACUGGGCGUAAAGCGCGCGUAGGUGGCUUGAUAAGCCGGUUGUGAAAGCCCCGGGCUCAACCUGGGAACGGCAUCCGGAACUGUCAAGCUAGAGUGCAGGAGAGGAAGGUAGAAUUCCCGGUGUAGAGGUGAAAUGCGUAGAGAUCGGGAGGAAUACCAGUGGCGAAGGCGGCCUUCUGGACUGACACUGACACUGAGGUGCGAAAGCGUGGGUAGCAAACAGGAUUAGAUACCCUUGUAGUC
This 465-nucleotide ribosomal RNA is filed under the name Vreelandella stevensii. Its description in RNAcentral is "partial 16S ribosomal RNA". It matches the Rfam family "Bacterial small subunit ribosomal RNA", at positions 338 to 795 of the family's 1533-position model. Lineage: Bacteria; Pseudomonadati; Pseudomonadota; Gammaproteobacteria; Oceanospirillales; Halomonadaceae. The record is from RNAcentral.